RNAcentral lists this long non-coding RNA (1357 nucleotides) under Homo sapiens (human). RNAcentral describes it as "non-protein coding RUSC1-AS1:5". The record is from RNAcentral. Lineage: Eukaryota; Metazoa; Chordata; Mammalia; Primates; Hominidae.
GCAGUGUUUGCAGAUGGAGUCGAAUGUAACCCCCCGGGAAUGGAGCCGGGAGGGUCAGAGAACGCGGCUGCGCUCUGGAUCUCCGAAGGGGGGCGGGGGCCUGGAAGAGGUCCGGGCCCAGAAUGGACCUCCAGGUCCCUGCUGCCGCAAUCUGGCCCUGCCCUCCAGCCUACCCCUUACUCCCAGAGGAAGGGACCCAGGGAGACCCACCCAGAUGCCCUGAAAGGAGGUGGAGGAUGGGGGUGGGGCAAUACGCAGAGUUUGUCUGGUGAAUGCAGGAAAGGGGUGGGGGCUGGAGAGGAAAAGGAUGGAGCAGCCGUCAGCUUGUCAACUCCGCAUCUGCUGGCUGCCUCGGCCGGGCUCCAGCCUGCGCCCUCGCCCCUCGGAACAGCGGCACGCUGCAAUCCUGUACCCUGAAACCAGCUAGAUGAGCAUGUCCUAUAGAGGCCAAGGCUACCAUGGGCACCCUCUGGGCAUCGGGCCCUGUCUGCAAUACACCUGCAGGAAGAGCUCGAUCAGGUUCAGGUAAUAGGGCUGCUCCCGGCAAUAGAGCUUCAGCAGGCGGUAGAUACAUGCUUCCAGGAGGUUAGCAUCAUUGAUGGCAUCCAAACCCACGCCCGGCUGUCAUGACAGACAGAAAAACAAGCAAUCAAUCUCUAGUCUCGGUUCAUACUAAGAGCCAUCACCCCAACACCUCAACCAGGCCAUAUAUAACCACCUCCCUGUGGCCUGUCCCCAUACCCACUGCUAUUUUCCUGCCCACAUUACCUUCUGAUACCAGCAGAUCUGUCCCCGGCGGGUAAGGGAUGAAUCCAUGAUGUCAUCUGCCACCAGGAAGAAAGCUUGCAGCUAGAAAGAGUGGAAUAAGACCUGCAGGGCUCCUCAUUACUGUUCCUUCUAUCAGCAACAGAGCUGCUACUUUAUAUCUGUAUAUAGUUUUGCUUUUUUUUGGUAGGGGACAGAGUCUCACUAUUAUCCAGUGCAGUGGUGCAGUCACAGCUCACUGUAGCCUCUAACUCCCAGGCUCAAGUGAUCCUCCCACUUCAGCUUCCUGAGUUCCUGAGACCAUAGGCACAUACCCCAUGCCUGGCUAUUUUUUUUUUUUAAUUUAUUUUUUGUAGAGACAGGGUCCCACUAUGUUGCUCAGGCUGGUUUUGAACCCCUGGGUUCAAAUGAUCCUCCUGCCUCAGCCUCCCAAAUUACUGGGAUUACAGGCAUGAGGCAUCACAGCCGGCCAGAGCUGCUGCCUUUGACAGUCCCUAUGAGCUGGGAAAGUCAGGAUGGGGAGACAGAAGACUUCUGUGCUAUGGAGACUUGGAAAGUGACAUAACAUGUUUGGCUCAGACUCCCCGCCUAU